GUCAGGCUAUCUGUUGCUCCAUUGGGAGAAAUGUGAAUAUUUUUGACAGCACUAGGAACUAAAACAGAAAAUAAAUUUAAAAGUCAUCACUUAGAGAAUGAACUGUUGAAAUUUUCAAACAAAGUUUUGAAUGCUUCUGAUGUUUUGGCACCCACUGAGAGAACUCACAUGAAAAAGAAAGUAACAAUUUGCCACUUUUCUCUGAUUUUUCUGUGUGAACUAAAGUUGAUGGGGGAAAGCUUAGGGGGAAGUCAAAGCCGGUUGGACAACAUCAUUGUCACUAUCAACAUGACUUUGUCCCUUCUUGCUGUCUCCCUUUUAUCCCUCCAAAUGCUCAAUCGAAAUACCUGAACUACCCGAAAGUUAAAUGCACCACUGCAUCUAUUCAGGUUCAAGAACAGUAUUUCACAUUACCUGUGAAGCCCUCAAUGAAGGCUGACUGCUGUACAUCCCCGCUAAUCGUCAAGACAAGAAUUUUGUAUUGGCGGCCUGGUGUUAGGGAAGUAAAUCGAUACUCGGUUGCGGUAUUUACAAGGUGAAAAGGAGGAAAUACUUUCAUGUCAUUGAAGAGCAGCUGGAUCUCAUAUUGGUCGACAUCCCCAUUAGCUCCUGACCAAGUCACAUGCAAGUCCUCAGUGCUCCUGUUGCGCAAUGUUAGAUCCUUAACAGGCUCUGGAACUAGGGAGAAAAAUGAGAAGACAUUUCAGGAAAGGAACUGAUCAGAGUUUACCUACAUAAUAAUUUAUGAAUCACAUUCAAGGAACUGGCAACAUCUCCCUUCCCCAAAUAAACCACUAGCACUACUUCAUGCAUAAUUAAACAAGAAAAAUUGGAAGCAACUAUUAACAUUGUGGUUUUUUCCUGACAUAAAUGUUACAUGAUCAGCAUUGGUAGAACAUAAUUAUAAAAUGAGUUAUGAUCUCAAUCAUAAGAUAAAACAAGAAGUCUAGAAUCUAAAUGCCAUGAUGCAGGAAGAUAGGGAAGAAAAAUGGGACAUUUAGCCUUCUUGCUCCCUCACUAUGUUUGCUUUUAUCUACCAAUAAAUAUUCUGUAAUUAUAGGCCAUGGCUUGGCUGAAUGAUGUUAGCACCAAGUGAGACUUACUGGGAAUGUAAUGUACUAAUGAAUAAGCAGAAAAAAUUCAAGGUUCAGAUAAAUUACUAGAGACUUUCAAGUCCAACCAACUGUCAGAUUUUGCAAUCGUUCCACUUACUUGUUCUCCCAUUCCCUUGUUCAUUGGCUUCAUAUUGUCCACUUUUUGUAGUAACAGUGACACUGUACAACCGUCCAGGGACUAGCUGAACAAAUACACAUUCGUUUUCUGACUUGGGAAUGCUUUUAGUUUGAAUGAAGUUGUUUUUGUUUUUAAUGGUGACUUCAUAGUGAUCAAAGUCUCCAGUGGCAUGCACCCAGGAUACCCUUAAAUAGUCACUCCUGGCUGAGUUGCUAACACUGACUCCCUGGACUUUGUCAGGCACUGAAAAGGAAACAGAGAGUAACUAAAUAUUUAUGAAUUCUGAGUGAGUAAUUGAUCACAGAUGACAAGCUGGGACAAUAAAAAGAGAGAGUAGAUUAUUAUUGUGUGCAUUUAAAAGAAAAAUCUUAGACCUUAGGUUACAAAUUUCUGGAGGGGAAAGAUUGUUACACUAUGUGGAGUGAUUAAACGGAUCUUUUAACAGAAGCUGAUGAACUCAUUCUAAGCCUGCUGUUUGCCUGCACAAAGUGUCAUGUAUAAGAUGGAACAUUAAACAUGAUGGCUGAU
This 1761-nucleotide long non-coding RNA is filed under the name Homo sapiens (human). Its description in RNAcentral is "HSALNT0191277". The record is from RNAcentral. Lineage: Eukaryota; Metazoa; Chordata; Mammalia; Primates; Hominidae.